This 501-nucleotide ribosomal RNA is filed under the name uncultured bacterium. RNAcentral describes it as "partial 16S ribosomal RNA". It matches the Rfam family "Bacterial small subunit ribosomal RNA", at positions 30 to 523 of the family's 1533-position model. The record is from RNAcentral.
AUUGAACGCUGGCGGCAGGCUUAACACAUGCAAGUCGAGCGGGGUGAGGUGCUUCGGUACUGAUCCUAGCGGCGGACGGGUGAGUAAUGCUUAGGAGUCUGCCAUUUAGUGGGGGACAACAUUCCGAAAGGGAUGCUAAUACCGCAUACGUCCUACGGGAGAAAGCAGGGGAUCUUCGGACCUUGCGCUAAAUGAUGAGCCUAAGUCGGAUUAGCUAGUUGGUGGGGUAAAGGCCUACCAAGGCGACGAUCUGUAGCGGGUCUGAGAGGAUGAUCCGCCACACUGGGACUGAGACACGGCCCAGACUCCUACGGGAGGCAGCAGUGGGGAAUAUUGGGCAAUGGGCGGAAGCCUGAUCCAGCCAUGUCGCGUGUGUGAAGAAGGCCUUUUGGUUGUAAAGCACUUUAAGCGAGGAGGAGGCUACCUGGAUUAAUACUCUAGGAUAGUGGACGUUACUCGCAGAAUAAGCACCGGCUAACUCUGUGCCAGCCGCCGCCGUAA